UUUUAAAGGUCAAUACUCAAUACUAAUAAUUAAUAUAUAGAUAGGUAUGCACCUAUCUAUCUAUGCAUAUGCAGUGAAACGACAACGUUUUUUUCAUCUAAUAUCACCAACGAAUUCAGCAUAUACUCAUUUUUCUCUCUCCUCUGAUCUCUCGCCCUUUUCUCUCUCAUCAAACCUCAUUUUCUCUCUCCAUUUUUGGCAACCAUGGAGAAUCACCGGCACCACCACCACCGUUGCUUCUUCGUCCUCUCCUCGUCCUUCUCGCCUCCUUCACCAUGGCCGCACUCGCAGCUCCUCCUCAUCCGAUGAUGAUGCUUUCGUCGGAGUUCCGAUCUCUUAGUUGUAUGUUCAGAUCUACGUUUCUGUUAGGGUUUCGAAGGUUCAUUUUCCGUGAAGCGAUCUAUUGGUAGGAGGAUGUCGGAGGUGGAUGAGGAGUCAAAGCAGGUGAACUAUAUGGUUGUUAGGGAUGAGAAUAACAAUGUCAAGCUCGCGGAAGAGAUCUUUGGUCAAGAAGAAAAAAGUUAAUAAGAAUGCGACAACAACAAAAAAGCUGAUUUAGAAAUGGAAGAUAUGAUAUUCAGAGAGGCUGCAAGAAUUGAAGAAGAAUUGAAGGCGGAGCAACCAAAAAAGAAUCUGCAAAUAAGGAAGAAGAAGAAAGAGAAAAGAGACUGUUGUAGCGAAAAAGGUGGAAGUCGAAAGGAAAGAAUCAUAAAAAUUAGAAGCAUAGAAAGAGAAAAGAGGCAACAACCUCUAAAAUAGAGGAAGCAGUGAAUGUUCAUUAAAUUACUUUAAAUACCAAUUUGUGUGUUUGCAGCUUA
Long non-coding RNA from Spinacia oleracea (spinach), 818 nucleotides. RefSeq lists it as uncharacterized. The transcript is spliced from 3 exons. The record is from RefSeq and is a predicted model, not a curated record. Lineage: Eukaryota; Viridiplantae; Streptophyta; Magnoliopsida; Caryophyllales; Amaranthaceae.